This 347-nucleotide ribosomal RNA is filed under the name uncultured bacterium. RNAcentral's name for it is "partial 16S ribosomal RNA". It matches the Rfam family "Bacterial small subunit ribosomal RNA", at positions 338 to 699 of the family's 1533-position model. The record is from RNAcentral.
CCUACGAGUGGCUGCAGUGGGGGAUAUUGGACAAUGGGGGAAACCCUGAUCCAGCGACGCCGCGUGAGUGAAGAAGUAUUUCGGUAUGUAAAGCUCUGUCAGCAGGGAAGAAAGACAUGACGGUACCUGACCAAGAAGCCCCGGCUACCUACGUGCCAGCAGCCGCGGUAAUACGGCGGGGGCAAGCGUUAUCCGGAAUUACUGGGUGUAAGGGGAGCGUGGACGGUGAUGCAAGUCUGUCGUGAAAGGCGGGGGCCCAACCCCCGGACUGCUCUGGAGAUUGUGUAACUUGAGUGCAGAAGAGGUAAGCGGAAUUCAUGGUGUAGCGGUGAAAUGCGUAGAGAUUA